This 932-nucleotide ribosomal RNA is filed under the name Staphylococcus cohnii. RNAcentral's name for it is "bacterial SSU rRNA". It matches the Rfam family "Bacterial small subunit ribosomal RNA", at positions 38 to 960 of the family's 1533-position model. The record is from RNAcentral. Lineage: Bacteria; Bacillati; Bacillota; Bacilli; Caryophanales; Staphylococcaceae.
GGGGGCGGGAACUUGACGCCGGCGCGCGCGCGGCGCCCCGGGGAACUCAGAAUCAUCGGCGGACGGGUGAGUAACACGUGGGUAACCUACCUAUAAGACUGGGAUAACUUCGGGAAACCGGAGCUAAUACCGGAUAACAUUUAGAACCGCAUGGUUCUAAAGUGAAAGAUGGUUUUGCUAUCACUUAUAGAUGGACCCGCGCCGUAUUAGCUAGUUGGUAAGGUAACGGCUUACCAAGGCGACGAUACGUAGCCGACCUGAGAGGGUGAUCGGCCACACUGGAACUGAGACACGGUCCAGACUCCUACGGGAGGCAGCAGUAGGGAAUCUUCCGCAAUGGGCGAAAGCCUGACGGAGCAACGCCGCGUGAGUGAUGAAGGGUUUCGGCUCGUAAAACUCUGUUAUUAGGGAAGAACAAAUGUGUAAGUAACUGUGCACAUCUUGACGGUACCUAAUCAGAAAGCCACGGCUAACUACGUGCCAGCAGCCGCGGUAAUACGUAGGUGGCAAGCGUUAUCCGGAAUUAUUGGGCGUAAAGCGCGCGUAGGCGGUUUCUUAAGUCUGAUGUGAAAGCCCACGGCUCAACCGUGGAGGGUCAUUGGAAACUGGGAAACUUGAGUGCAGAAGAGGAGAGUGGAAUUCCAUGUGUAGCGGUGAAAUGCGCAGAGAUAUGGAGGAACACCAGUGGCGAAAGCGACUUUCUGGUCUGUAACUGACGCUGAUGUGCGAAAGCGUGGGGAUCAAACAGGAUUAGAUACCCUGGUAGUCCACGCCGUAAACGAUGAGUGCUAAGUUGUUAGGGGGUUUCCGCCCCUUAGUGCUGCAGCUAACGCAUUAAGCACUCCGCCUGGGGAGUACGACCGCAGUGGAACUCAAGGAUGACGGGACCCGCCACAAGCGGUUGGAGCAUUGUGCUUUAAAUUCGAGGCAAG